UACGGAAAGGACAGGCGUCCUGGCCCGCUCCUGAGUAAGGCAUUGUGGGCCUGGGUGUGGAAUGAGAGUUUUUAAUGCCGUCCUGUUGAUGUGGAAGAUUAGGACUCCUGUCCAGUGGGUCAAACUUGGCCACUGAUUCUAAGGCUUCAGAGUUGCCCGGAAUUUUAAGAAAUCCCGAUAUUAUCCUGAAGCUCUUCUGGGCUUACAGCCACCAUCUCCAGAGUCAGAGUUGAUCGGCAAACACGGAUUGCUUUUUCAGGGAAAGAGCGGGCAGCCCCAAAGCUCUUUGACAAAGCCAGUGA
Molecule: long non-coding RNA, 302 nt
Organism: Lontra canadensis (Northern American river otter)
Lineage: Eukaryota; Metazoa; Chordata; Mammalia; Carnivora; Mustelidae
Exons: 3
Source: RefSeq, a predicted model, not a curated record